This 255-nucleotide ribosomal RNA is filed under the name uncultured bacterium. Its description in RNAcentral is "partial 16S ribosomal RNA". It matches the Rfam family "Bacterial small subunit ribosomal RNA", at positions 99 to 353 of the family's 1533-position model. The record is from RNAcentral.
CGGACGGGUGCGUAACGCGUAUGCAACCUGCCUGACACAGGGGGAUAAUCCGAAGAAAUUUGGUCUAAUACCCCAUAAUACCGAUAUAGGCAUCUAUGUUGGUUGAAAGCUUUGGUGGUGUCAGAUGGGCAUGCGUUGUAUUAGCUAGUUGGUGAGGUAACGGCUCACCAAGGCGACGAUACAUGGGGGGACUGAGAGGUUAACCCCCCACACUGGUACUGAGACACGGACCAGACUCCUACGGGAGGCAGCAUG